Long non-coding RNA from Lates calcarifer (barramundi perch), 345 nucleotides. RefSeq lists it as uncharacterized. The transcript is spliced from 3 exons. The record is from RefSeq and is a predicted model, not a curated record. Lineage: Eukaryota; Metazoa; Chordata; Actinopteri; Centropomidae.
AAACAGUCAGUCCAGACAGCAGCAGCACAGACACACCUGCAACAGGAGGACAGAGGACACUGAGGGUCAGAGGACACUGAGGGACAGAGGACACUGAGGGACAGAGGACACUGAGGGUCAGAGGACACUGAGGGUCAGAGGACACUGAGGGUCAGAGGAGGGACAGAGGACACUGAGGGACAGAGGUCAGUGAGGGUCAGAGGACACUGAGGGUCAGAGGACACUGAGGGACAGAGGACACUGAGGGACCAGAGACCAGGAUUCUGUCAAAUAAAGCUUCAUCAGUGAGACGUCCUCGUAGGUUCACGUUGGAGCACAGGAACCAUGUGACUGCAACGUUCAGCA